Molecule: ribosomal RNA, 197 nt
Filed under: uncultured bacterium
Lineage: Bacteria
Description: partial 16S ribosomal RNA
Rfam family: Bacterial small subunit ribosomal RNA
Source: RNAcentral
UCCUACGGGAGGCAGCAGUAGGGAAUCUUCGGCAAUGGGGGCAACCCUGACCGAGCAACGCCGCGUGAGUGAAGAAGGUUUUCGGAUCGUAAAGCUCUGUUGUAAGAGAAGAACGUGUGUGAGAGUGGAAAGUUCACACAGUGACGGUAACUUACCAGAAAGGGACGGCUAACUACGUGCCAGCAGCCGCGGUAAUA